GACGAACGCUGGCGGCGUGCCUAAUACAUGCAAGUAGAACGCUGAAGAGAGGAGCUUGCUCUUCUUGGAUGAGUUGCGAACGGGUGAGUAACGCGUAGGUAACCUGCCUUGUAGCGGGGGAUAACUAUUGGAAACGAUAGCUAAUACCGCAUAACAAUGGAUGACACAUGUCAUUUAUUUGAAAGGGGCAAUUGUUCCACUACAAGAUGGACCUGCGUUGUAUUAGCUAGUAGGUGAGGUAUGGCUCACCUAGGCGACGAUACAUAGCCGACCUGAGAGGGUGGUCGGCCACACUGGGACUGAGACACGGCCCAGACUCCUACGGGAGGCAGCAGGAGGGAAUCUUCGGCAAUGGGGGCAACCCUGACCGAGCAACGCCGGGGGAGGGAAGAAGGGUUUCGGAUCGUAAAGCUCUGUUGUAAGUCAAGAACGGGUGUGAGAGUGGAAAGUUCACACUGUGACGGUAGCUUACCAGAAAGGGACGGCUAACUACGUG
RNAcentral lists this ribosomal RNA (496 nucleotides) under uncultured bacterium. RNAcentral describes it as "partial 16S ribosomal RNA". It matches the Rfam family "Bacterial small subunit ribosomal RNA", at positions 28 to 507 of the family's 1533-position model. The record is from RNAcentral.